GGCCUAGUGGUCUAAAGGCAUGAUACUCGCUUAGGGUGCGAGUGGCCCCGGGUUCGAACCCCGGCUGGGCCC
This 72-nucleotide transfer RNA is filed under the name Schistosoma haematobium. It matches the Rfam family "tRNA". Rfam says of the family: Transfer RNA (tRNA) molecules are approximately 80 nucleotides in length. Their secondary structure includes four short double-helical elements and three loops (D, anti-codon, and T loops). Further hydrogen bonds mediate the characteristic L-shaped molecular structure. tRNAs have two regions of fundamental functional importance: the anti-codon, which is responsible for specific mRNA codon recognition, and the 3' end, to which the tRNAs corresponding amino acid is attached (by aminoacyl-tRNA synthetases). tRNAs cope with the degeneracy of the genetic code in two manners: having more than one tRNA (with a specific anti-codon) for a particular amino acid; and 'wobble' base-pairing, i.e. permitting non-standard base-pairing at the 3rd anti-codon position. Lineage: Eukaryota; Metazoa; Platyhelminthes; Trematoda; Strigeidida; Schistosomatidae. The record is from Rfam by way of RNAcentral.